CCCGGCGAAGCGCCAGCCCCACGCUGGGGGCCCCGCCUCGAGCCGAGCUCGGUCCCCGCGAACCUCUCGGACCCCUUUGUGCGGCCGGAGGCGGCGGCGGCGGCGGCGGGAACGGCCAUGGCGGCCAACAUGUACCGGGUGGGAGAUUACGUCUAUUUUGAGAACUCCUCCAGCAAUCCUUACCUGGUUAGACGGAUUGAGGAGCUCAACAAGACUGCAAACGGAAAUGUGGAAGCAAAGGUUGUCUGUCUUUUCCGGCGAAGGGACAUUUCUAGUAGCCUCAACAGCUUGGCGGAUAGUAAUGCCA
Long non-coding RNA from Dipodomys ordii (Ord's kangaroo rat), 307 nucleotides. RefSeq lists it as uncharacterized. The record is from RefSeq and is a predicted model, not a curated record. The transcript has 3 exons. Lineage: Eukaryota; Metazoa; Chordata; Mammalia; Rodentia; Heteromyidae.